GUUGUUUGAAAGAAUUCCACAGUUAUCCAACAAGCCAUCCUCCCUUCUACUGCUUCCAUUAGCAGAGGAAGAGAUCUCAUCAAGGAACACAGGUUGUACCUCACUGUGAGGUCCAUCAAGUCUCAUUUUUGAGUCUGCAUCUUUUGGACGCAACAUACUGCUUGGGUUGAUUGACGUUUUAGCUGAACCACUGUCAGAGCUACAAGCAGGAUUGCUUGUUGAUAGUUCUCCUUGCCUCAGCAGGUCGGAGGAUAACCUGUGGUGGGCAUUGACAUCAACAUCCCCAUGGUGGACAUCUGUUGCUGAAGCAACACUAGUCCGCCCACAAUCAGAGCCAUUGAGUGAAAGCACAUCAUCAGCAACACUCUGGAAAUCUUCAUCACU
Molecule: unclassified non-coding RNA, 384 nt
Filed under: Hevea brasiliensis (rubber tree)
Lineage: Eukaryota; Viridiplantae; Streptophyta; Magnoliopsida; Malpighiales; Euphorbiaceae
Source: RNAcentral